This 468-nucleotide ribosomal RNA is filed under the name uncultured bacterium. RNAcentral's name for it is "partial 16S ribosomal RNA". It matches the Rfam family "Bacterial small subunit ribosomal RNA", at positions 28 to 507 of the family's 1533-position model. The record is from RNAcentral.
GACGAACGCUGGCGGCAUGCUUAACACAUGCAAGUCGAACGGAAAGGCCCUGCUUUUGUGGGGUGCUCGAGUGGCGAACGGGUGAGUAACACGUGAGUAACCUGCCCUUGACUUUGGGAUAACUUCAGGAAACUGGGGCUAAUACCGGAUAGGAGCUCCUGCUGCAUGGUGGGGGUUGGAAAGUUUCGGCGGUUGGGGAUGGACUCGCGGCUUAUCAGCUUGUUGGUGAGGUAGUGGCUUACCAAGGCUUUGACGGGUAGCCGGCCUGAGAGGGUGACCGGCCACAUUGGGACUGAGAUACGGCCCAGACUCCUACGGGAGGCAGCAGUGGGGAAUAUUGCACAAUGGGCGGAAGCCUGAUGCAGCAACGCCGCGUGCGGGAUGACGGCCUUCGGGUUGUAAACCGCUUUCGCCUGUGACGAAGCGUGAGUGACGGUAAUGGGUAAAGAAGCACCGGCUAACUACGUG